GGGGAUGAAUGCAGCCUCUCGCGCGGUGGAGCCAGUCCGGCAGUGAAGGACACGGGAGAGGAUCCACUUCUCAGGGGGGGAGGAACGCAGCAACACGCGAGUAACGGGCCGGAAAAGUGCUCCCUCCUCCGCGUGCGCGUCCCCGUUGGAGUGGAUCAACGGGACAGAGGAAGGAAGAGGAGCUGGAGGAGGAGAAGGAGGUGUUGCAGCUCCUUCUUGCCCGAGGAGGCGCACGGCCGGCGGUGUCGCUGCGACGCGCGGCGCCCGGCGGGGGGAGCGUGCACGAGUGCAGUGGGCGCGUGCGCGUGUCCUCUCUCAGGUGGAUUUGGAGUAAACGUGGGGUCUUGAUCGCGAGGAGUUUUGUCUCUGAAUCUGUCCUCUGUCCUCUGUCCUAUGUCCUCUGUCCUCGCUCCUGCUGCCGCUCAGACACGAAGGACAGAAGCAGAUCUCGUCGAAUUCUCCUCAAAGUGGGGUGCGUCGUUUCCCACAAUGUUACAGGUGUGAGCACGCCAGGUGACCCCACUGACAACCUCCCCCCAUCCUCCCACCCACUUAUCCCUGCCGACCCUUGGGCAAUCUGCAACCAAUCAUCUUCCUCAGCGGUGCCAUGGCAACCGCCUCCGUUCAAAGACUCAGCGGUCCGCAGCUGCUGCACUGAGGAAACCGAAAAGGGGGAACAGGAGAGGAAAGAAAUGCAUCCUGGGUGUUUUUAAUGGACUUGGUUUUUGAGCCACGGAAGAGCGGGUUUGUUUGACUUUGAAAGGAUUGCUUCCUUUCCCGGAUACAAAACUGAAGCCUUGACACAGUGGAUGCAAUGUGACCUGUAAAAUGUCGGCUCGCAGGAGGUGACAUGUGGCUCGCUCUGCCAUGUAGCCGCAUCGACCCGCAGGAACCUUCCAGGAACUUUACUUCCUCCCAACGCAGCCAAAAGCCUCCACGUUGUCCCCAUCGAGGCCGAGAUGAAAGAGGAAAAGGGGCCGAUAAAUUAAGAGAGGAACGGCAAGGGAGCCGAGACUUUUAUUUCCCGGGCCCCAACGCCUUGAGGCCCCCGUCCUCUUUUUUAAGCUCAUCUGUGGAUACUCUGCACCUGCGUCCCUGCGUCCGUCCUUCCUCCAACCACCUCAGCCCCCGCGGACAUUAAAGCUGCACCCGUCUUCAGAGGG
Pungitius pungitius (ninespine stickleback) is the source of this 1163-nucleotide long non-coding RNA. RefSeq lists it as uncharacterized. The transcript has 3 exons. The record is from RefSeq and is a predicted model, not a curated record. Lineage: Eukaryota; Metazoa; Chordata; Actinopteri; Perciformes; Gasterosteidae.